UCGCUGCCGACCGAAAGGGAAUGGGGUCAAUAUUCCCCAACCCGGACACGGAGAGAGAGCCCUCGGGCUCGAGUGCGGUAACGCAACCGAACUCGGAGACGUCGACGGAAGACCCGGGGAAGAGUUGUCUUUUCUUUGUAAGAGUUCGUGUCCCUGGAAUCGGCUCGUCCGGAGAUAGGGACGCUGUUCUCGUAAAAGCACCGCGGCUCUUGCGGUGUCCGGUGCGCUUCUGUCGGCCCUUGCAAAUCCGAGGGAGAUGGUGUGAUUUUCGUGCCGGUCCGUACCCAUAUCCGCAGCAGGUCUCCAAGGUGAACAGCCUCUAGUCGAUAGAACAAUGUAGGUAAGGGAAGUCGGCAAGUUCGAUCCGUAACUUCGGGACAAGGAUUGGCUCUGAGGACUGGGCCCGUCGGGCUGGGGUCCGAAGCGGGUGUGGCACUGCACCGGGACUGGGCGAGACUGGCCGGGGCAACCCGGUCCGGUUCGGCCCGGACCAGCGUCGGGGCCUUCCCGUGGAAUGCCUCAGCUGCGCGGCGGACCGGGCAUCAGUCCGGACCGACCGUUUCGGCGGGCAACUAACAGCCGACUCAGAACUGGCACGGACUAAGGGAAUCCGACUGUCUAAUUAAAACAAAGCAUUGCGAUGGCCGGUGACCGGUGUUGACGCAAUGUGAUUUCUGCCCAGUGCUCUGAAUGUCAAAGUGAAGAAAUUCAACGAAGCGCGGGUAAACGGCGGGAGUAACUAUGACUCUCUUAAGGUAGCCAAACGCCUCGUCAUCUAAUUAGUGACGCGCAUGAAUGGAUUAACGAGAUUCCCACUGUCCCUAUCUACUAUCUAGCGAAACCGCAGCCAAGGGAACGGACUUGGCAAAUUCACUGGGGAAAGAAGACCCUUUCGAGCUUGACUCUAGUCUGACUUUGUUCUAAGGCAUUAUUGGCGUAGUCUAGGUGGGAGUCCUUCAAUGGGCGAAAUUGUGAAAUACCACUACUUUGAUCGCCUUGGGACUUAUUCGGUGAUGUUCCUAAUCGUCCCUCAUCGAGGGACGAACGUAUGUGCUUUAAGUCCUCGCCGUUCGAGUGUUGGACGAGGAACUCCGAAGACAGCGUCAGGCAGGCAGUUUGUCUGGGGCGGAACAUCUGUCAAAUGGCAACGCAGGUGUCCCAAGGCCGGCUCAGUCGGGACGGAAACCCGGCGUGGAGCAAAGGGGCAAAAGCCGGCUCGAUCCCGUUCUUCAGCAGGGAAGGGGACCUGGAAACAGGGGCCCAUCGAUCCUUUCUUUUGUGUGCCCUCCGGGGUACGAUGUGAGAGUCUCACGGGAGAGGUGUCGGAAAAGUUACCGGAGGGAUAACUGGCUCGUGGCGGCUGAGAGUUCAUAUCGACGUCGCUUAUUGAUUCUUCGAUGUCGGCUCUUCCUAUCAUUGCGAAGCAGAAUUCGCAAAGCGUUGGAUUGUUCACCCACUAACAGGGAACGUGAGCUGGGUUUAGACCGUCGUGAGACAGGUUAGUUUUACCCUGGUGAAGACGGGUCGUGGCUACGGGAAAACUUGCCCAGUACGAGAGGAACCGUAGGUUGGGACAUUUGGUACUGCGCUCGGUGGGGCCGCCGGUGGCGCGAAGCUACCAUCCCGUGGGAGAACGGCUGAACGCCUCUAAGUCGGAAACCCUCCCGGCGAGUGUCGGGAUACUUCCGGCCCCGCGCGUCGAACGGCCUUUCCUAGGGGCCGCACGUUGGUCCUCUCCUCGUCGCGGGGAGGGGUGCGAGCGUCGGUUCCGAAGAAGCCCCUUCGUACGCCUGGACAGAUGACGGACCCCCCUCCCAGACUGCCGGGGGUCCUGUCCCUACGAGCCUGCCUCCGGGCGGGUGCGAUGUGUGUGGGUCGAGAGUCGUCUGCAGACGACUUUCGUUCUGGACGGGGUGUUGU
The sequence is a ribosomal RNA, 1920 nucleotides long. The stretch from base 1 to 1699 matches the Rfam family "Eukaryotic large subunit ribosomal RNA", at positions 1584 to 3401 of the family's 3401-position model.